RNAcentral lists this ribosomal RNA (253 nucleotides) under uncultured bacterium. RNAcentral's name for it is "partial 16S ribosomal RNA". It matches the Rfam family "Bacterial small subunit ribosomal RNA", at positions 524 to 776 of the family's 1533-position model. The record is from RNAcentral.
UACGAAGGGUGCAAGCGUUAAUCGGAAUUACUGGGCGUAAAGGGUGCGUAGGCGGUUAUUUAAGUCUGCCGUGAAAUCCCCGGGCUCAACCUGGGAAUGGCGGUGGAUACUGGAUAGCUAGAGUGUGUCAGAGGAUGGUGGAAUUCCCGGUGUAGCGGUGAAAUGCGUAGAGAUCGGGAGGAACAUCAGUGGCGAAGGCGGCCAUCUGGGACAACACUGACACUGAGAGACGAAAGCUAGGGGAGCGAAUGGG